Molecule: ribosomal RNA, 492 nt
Filed under: uncultured bacterium
Lineage: Bacteria
Description: bacterial SSU rRNA
Rfam family: Bacterial small subunit ribosomal RNA
Source: RNAcentral
GAUGAACGCUGGCGGCGUGCUUAACACAUGCAAGUCGAACGAAGCACUUUAUUUGAUUUCCUUCGGGACUGAUUAUUUUGUGACUGAGUGGCGGACGGGUGAGUAACGCGUGGGUAACCUGCCUUGUACAGGGGGAUAACAGUUGGAAACGGCUGCUAAUACCGCAUAAGCGCACGGCAUCGCAUGAUGCAGUGUGAAAAGGAGUAAUCCGCUUUGAGAUGGCCUCGCGUCCGAUUAGCUAGUUGGUGAGGUAAUGGCCCACCAAGGCGACGAUCGGUAGCCGGACUGAGAGGUUGAACGGCCACAUUGGGACUGAGACACGGCCCAGACUCCUACGGGAGCAGCAGUGGGGAAUAUUGCACAAUGGGGGGAACCCUGAUGCAGCGACGCCGCGUGGAGGAAGAAGGUCUUCGGAUUGUAAACUCCUGUUGUUGAGGAAGAUAAUGACGGUACUCAACAAGGAAGUGACGGCUAAACUACGUGCCAGCAGCC